UACGAAGGGGGCUAGCGUUGCUCGGAAUCACUGGGCGUAAAGGGUGCGUAGGCGGGUUUUUUAAGCAGAGGUGAAAUCCUGGAGCUCAACUCCAGAACUGCCUUUGAUACUGAAAGUCUUGAGUAUGGGAGAGGUGAGUGGAACUGCGAGUGUAGAGGUGAAAUUCGUAGAUAUUCGCAAGAACACCAGUGGCGAAGGCGGCUCACUGGCCCAUUACUGACGCUGAGGCACGAAAGCGUGGGGAGCAAACAGG
RNAcentral lists this ribosomal RNA (253 nucleotides) under uncultured bacterium. Its description in RNAcentral is "partial 16S ribosomal RNA". It matches the Rfam family "Bacterial small subunit ribosomal RNA", at positions 524 to 776 of the family's 1533-position model. The record is from RNAcentral.